This 581-nucleotide long non-coding RNA is filed under the name Homo sapiens (human). RNAcentral describes it as "HSALNT0310699". The record is from RNAcentral. Lineage: Eukaryota; Metazoa; Chordata; Mammalia; Primates; Hominidae.
CUUAAGUAAACUUCUUAUCUAGGUUCACAGGGCAAGACCACAUCUAAUAUGGUUCAUAUGUUUUGUGGAAACAUGUAUUUUUAUUCAGAAUAGCUAUGUGGAAAAGGAAAGAUAAAAUGAAUCCCAAGGGCAUCUUAAACACACUAAAGAUAUAUUACAGGCCACAUAGUUCAACUCAAGAGUGUUUUGGCAAGCAGAAAGUGGCAGACAAAUUGUAAGUCCAGCAAUGUAUAUAAAAACCUAUGAAACAUGUCUAUGGAUAGAAUUCAAUGAUGCAAUUACUUGGGAAAGCUUGAAUAAACAUGUUAAGUAGUCAGCAUUUAUCAAAUACCCUUUGCUAGGCAUUGGGGAGAAGGAAAACAAGAGUUACCAUGAGGCAGAGUAAGAGGUCAGCAUAAUCUGUGAGUGAGGGUGAAAUCACCACGCAAAGACAUCUGAGGGUACUGUCAUUUUGAAUAAGGUUAAAGCUGUCAAACUAGUUAUAAAGAAUGACUUUGAGCCAGGUGGUACUCAAUGAGAGUGGAGGUACCUGUUCCUGUAACCGUAAAACUAUUUAAACAUACUAAAACUAUAGAAGUAAA